Molecule: small nuclear RNA, 102 nt
Filed under: Salvator merianae (Argentine black and white tegu)
Lineage: Eukaryota; Metazoa; Chordata; Lepidosauria; Squamata; Teiidae
Source: RNAcentral
NUGUUCGCUUCAGCAGCACAUAUACUAAAAUUGGAAUACAGAAGAUUAGCAUGGCCCCUGUGCAAGAAUGACACACAAAUCCGUGAAGCGUUCCAUAUAUAU